RNAcentral lists this long non-coding RNA (1545 nucleotides) under Sus scrofa (pig). Its description in RNAcentral is "lncRNA (ENSSSCG00065073693.1)". The record is from RNAcentral. Lineage: Eukaryota; Metazoa; Chordata; Mammalia; Artiodactyla; Suidae.
GAUCCCUUCAGCAUACUUUCCAGCAGCAUCACCUGCACAGACCAGUGUGGGCAGUUUGCCUAUGAAUUCCAAGACGUAUUGUCAGCUUGAUGCUUUGGGGAAGGGGGGGUGCCUACUAAAAUGCCUUGAAAGUAUUUCUAAUCACUUCUCAGAAAAGGUGGUUUUCUCUGAGGCUCUCCUACCCCUUGCACACACCUUAUAAGUAGUAAUUGUUUCUGGAUAUUUUGACCAAUAGUGAAAUAUUCUGAAAAAGGUGGGAUAACUUCCAAGGCUUGAGGAUUUUUUUUAAAGAGGCAAAAAUAUGAUCUUUGCAACUGACAAAAUAAUGUGUCCCUGUUCCUGGGAUGCAUUUUUAUCUAGUAUAGGUACCGUAAUCUCUGUGUGUAUGUGGCUAAGGAUUCUGUGGAGAUUUUAGUGCCAAAAUUAACUUUGGAAGUAGUUUGUCAGUGAAAAAGAAAUUAAAAAGUAACUUACUAUUUCUUGUCUGGUUUAAUUUGUCUCCUCUCCUUUCUCCUUUCCUUCUCUUUCUGUUCUUCCGGUGUGCUCAGUGCCUUUUCCCCCCCUCUCUUUCCGCAGUUUUGGGGACAAGUUCCCUUUAGAGUGAUUUUCCUCCCUAGAUUGAAUUUUGAGUUCCAGACGCAUUUUGCUUCCUUCGUUUUUCUGUUCAAAGUAUACUUCUUGCAUUUCCAUGGCCUCACUCUUCAAUCUGGAUCUUUCUCUACUCCUUUGCCUCUCCAGCUUUCUCACUACCAUUCCCCCAGCUCAAUUAACCUCACCGGCCCUGGUUCUCGGAAAGAUUGCCUUCCAUUUUUUGCUUAGCUUCAGCCUCCGUAUCCAUUUACUCCACUUCCACCUUCGUAUCAUCACCCGCCACCCCUCCCACCCGAUCGCCAAGUCCGUCUCCUGGGCUCAGGGGGCCAGUUGCGCGCCCAAGGUCUGAUCCUUUCUUCUUCAGUACUCCCAACUAGCUUUCCCCCGCCCCCGGCCGCCCCACUUCUAUCCCCACCCCACCCCCCAGCCUCCACCUUUUUCCAAAUCCUUUCUGGCCUCUUCCCAUCCACCCGGCUUCCUCCAGCUGCGUGGUCCAGCAUCUACGUCUCUGCCUUUCCCUGGCUCCGCAGCCAGCCUGGGCACCGAUCCUGGGCUUUUCGGCACUAUCCUCCAGCCACACCUCUCGGGGUGCUGCUUGCUGCCUCCCAGGCUCCGCUUCGUGAGUCAGGGUAGGAUCGAAACAGCGCGGGUGCAGCCCGGGUCCUCCAGCGUGGGCUGCAGGCGAGCGCGCCAGCGUGCAGGAUGCUGGACCUUGAGCCGCUCAGAGAGGAGGGGUUUGGCGGUGGCUGUGUUCCGGAGCAGAGGCCCGGGUCUGCCUCUGGGCCCCAGUCGCCCUUGUUCUCCACGCCCCGGGUCAGGAGGGAAGGAGAGGGGCCUCUGGUCCCCCUGCAGGUGGGCAAGAAAACCGCUCCGCAGAUGCUGCGCGCUGGUGUUUCUUUCUCGCGUGUCCUGAGCCUGGAGCUGCCAACACCAGAGUCCGAGGCUCCAGUGCAG